Long non-coding RNA from Rhododendron vialii, 1801 nucleotides. RefSeq lists it as uncharacterized. The transcript has 2 exons. The record is from RefSeq and is a predicted model, not a curated record. Lineage: Eukaryota; Viridiplantae; Streptophyta; Magnoliopsida; Ericales; Ericaceae.
GUGUGUGUGUGUUGAUGGCGUUAAUCCGUGUCUAGUGGCGUUAAAUAUGAGGAUAUUGGCAUAAACGGUCUCUGGUUUUUCUUGUCCAAAGGGAAAGAAGGAGGUUGAUCUAGCUUUUCAGGGUCAAGAUAUUAAAUGGAAAACUAAGAAAUUAGAUCGGAAAGGUAAUUCUAUGGAGAGUUUGUUGGUCAUAUAUAUAUAUAAUAUUAUAUUAAUUUCAGGGAGAAUCUAGACUAUGGCCUGGCAAAGUUACUGAAUAAUGCAUUCUCCUAAGUCCCAACCACUAAUGCAAAAAGCGUGCCCUUAAGCCCGCCGUGCUGUUCGGCUCACAAAGUGCACACUUUAGCCAAGUAUGUGUAGAUUUUAACCCGGCAAAGUUAUUGAAUAACACAUUCUCCCAAGUACCCAAAAUUGUUGCAAAAGGCAAGUGCUUAAGCCAGCUGUAUAGUUCGGCUCACAAAGUAUGCACUUCAGCCGAGGUGUGAUGGGGCCUGUUGUUUGAUUUCUUUUGGUUAUAUUGUUUUUCCAUAUAAGCCAGUGAUUUUGAGUAUGAUGUCAAUGACUUUCUGUGUGCACAACCACUGUAAUUAAAGGUUGUACAGACUUUAGAAAUGCGUUGUCACAGGGAAUUAAGAGUGUACUUAUGUAUUAGAGCAUUCACAUUACCGAGCGACGAUUUGGUACCUCUAAACAAUGACUAUUUGGUAUUCGGUAAAUGCUUUUAUGGAUUUUGACAUGAUAGAUGCUUUUCAAAACUUCUUAAUGUUAAUAACUGAAAGUUCACCUGCAUUAAGGGCCUGUUGGGUUUGCUAAGCAAUUAGAAAAUAAGCUUGUUUGGUGAGGGCUGGUUGCUUAAUUGCUUAUUAAUAGAACCAACAAACAAGAUAAGUAAAUAAGCAAUCCCAACGACUUUUCUUAAUAUUAAUUUUGUCUGUUGCUUGCUUAGAACCUAAGGACCUGGAACAUUGAACUAUUUUGUCCAAGUUAUAUUCCCCCCUUGUUUAAAGAAAUAGAGAUGAUUGAGUGAAGUCCAUGCUUUGUCUCGACUUGUAGGUUCCAACAUACAUUUGGCUCCUCGCAUGCUUCUCGCAUUUACAAAGAGUAGUCUAAACAAACUUGACAAACAAAAUGAAAUACGUUUACUUAUGCAAAAAAAAAAAGAAAAAGAAAUCUGUUCAAGAUCAACUUUGUCUAAUAUUUGCUCAGAUGGUUUCAAGGUGAUGGUGAAAGCAGUCCCUCCAAAGUAUGCAUAAAUAUGCAUGUCAAAUUCACACUCGGUAGUAGUUUGUCUCCUCUUUUUGGAUAAGUUAAGAUAUUUCUUGCAGUGGACAAACCAGUGAGAAUAUUGUACGUUGUGGCAUACAAUAUUGUCUGCUGUUUCUAAAAAUCAUAUCUUCAUUCAAGUACUAAUCACAUUCAGCAGUGAUCUCCUCGUUCUUGAUUGUACUUGUUACAGGGUCUUGGAUAGAACUCAAUCCCAAAAGCUAGCUUUUGAAGUGAGGGUGCCCUCACGCUUAUUUUUUUCAUAUUACUUUGAUACCCAAGCGAUGUGGGACUUUGCUUCACACUCUCCCUCACGCCCAACGUGCUCACUCGGCAGCAUUUGAUGCUGCAGGCCAGAGACACACGCCCUACCUAUCCUUGGCAUACCCGGCUAUGAUACCAUGUUACAUGGUCCUGGGAAGAACUCAACCUCAAAAGCUAGCUCUUGAGGUGAGGGUGUCCUCACGUAAUGAAGGCUAGCUAUUGACGUGAGGGUGCCCUCGCGCUUAUAUACUUCAUAUUACUUUGGUACCCAGGC